RNAcentral lists this ribosomal RNA (492 nucleotides) under uncultured bacterium. RNAcentral describes it as "partial 16S ribosomal RNA". It matches the Rfam family "Bacterial small subunit ribosomal RNA", at positions 29 to 507 of the family's 1533-position model. The record is from RNAcentral.
AGUGAACGCUGGCGGUAGGCCUAACACAUGCAAGUCAAACGGCAGCACAGUAAGAGCCUGCUCUUACGGGUGGCGAGUGGCGGACGGGUGAGGAAUACAUCGGAAUCUACUUUUUCGUGGGGGAUAACGUAGGGAAACUUACGCUAAUACCGCAUACGACCUACGGGUGAAAGCAGGGGAUCUUCGGACCUUGCGCGAUUGAAUGAGCCGAUGUCGGAUUAGCUAGUUGGCGGGGUAAAGGCCCACCAAGGCGACGAUCCGUAGCUGGUCUGAGAGGAUGAUCAGCCACACUGGAACUGAGACACGGUCCAGACUCCUACGGGAGGCAGCAGUGGGGAAUAUUGGACAAUGGGCGCAAGCCUGAUCCAGCCAUACCGCGUGGGUGAAGAAGGCCUUCGGGUUGUAAAGCCCUUUUGUUGGGAAAGAAAAGCAGCAGGUUAAUACCCCGCUGUUCUGACGGUACCCAAAGAAUAAGCACCGGCUAACUUCGUG